This 262-nucleotide unclassified non-coding RNA is filed under the name Hevea brasiliensis (rubber tree). Lineage: Eukaryota; Viridiplantae; Streptophyta; Magnoliopsida; Malpighiales; Euphorbiaceae. The record is from RNAcentral.
GGUGCUCAGAAUUAUCAACUGCAGCUGAUGGGAUUUCCUCCCAAGGUUCUUACAGAUUCAACUCAAACAAUAGAGCAAGCAGGGCUUGCCAAUUCAGUCAUUAUUCAGAAAUUCUAGCCAAGCUGGAUAAAAGGCAGUGCACUCUCAUUAGUCAUUAACUGCUUAUUGUACCAAGCGAACCAAUUCUAUGGACAUAUCUCCAUUUCCUAUAUAUUAAAAGAGGGUUUUGGUGGCUGGUUGCGUGGUACAAUAAGCAGUUAAU